GACGAACGCUGGCGGCGUGCUUAACACAUGCAAGUCGAACGGAAAGGCCCCCAUCUUGGUGGGGGUGCUCGAGUGGCGAACGGGUGAGUAACACGUGGGUGAUCUGCCCUGUACUUCGGGAUAAGCUUGGGAAACUGGGUCUAAUACCGGAUAGGACCAUGGUUUAGUGUCUCAUGGUGGAAAGAUUAUUGUUUUGGUGCAGGAUGAGCUCGCGGCCUAUCAGCUUGUUGGUGGGGUAAUGGCCUACCAAGGCGUCGACGGGUAGCCGGCCUGAGAGGGUGGACGGCCACAUUGGGACUGAGAUACGGCCCAGAUUCCUACGGGAGGCAGCAGUGGGGAAUAUUGCACAAUGGGCGCAAGCCUGAUGCAGCGACGCCGCGUGGGGGAUGACGGCCUUCGGGUUGUAAACUCCUUUCGUUAGGGACGAAGCCGCACUUUUUUUGGGUGUGGUGACGGUACCUUUGUUAAGAAGCACCGGCUAACUACGUG
RNAcentral lists this ribosomal RNA (489 nucleotides) under uncultured bacterium. Its description in RNAcentral is "partial 16S ribosomal RNA". It matches the Rfam family "Bacterial small subunit ribosomal RNA", at positions 28 to 507 of the family's 1533-position model. The record is from RNAcentral.